GAUAGAAGCUGCAAAAGCAACCGUUGCCCAGAGUUGGAAAGGGCACAGAAAAUGGGAAAUAAAAAUUGAUACAAAUAUGUAGCAGACUAUAUGGUGCAGGAUUAUAUUAUUGAAAGAAAAACAAAAUAUACAAAUGAAUAUUCCAAAGAGAACUGGGACUAAAAAGCUGAUAGCCAGAGUAAAAGGGAAAGGAAAAUACAAGGAACUGUAUCAGACCAUCAUACAGAUUCAGAUACAGAUAUAGAUAAAGAUAUGUAUCAAAAUAGUAGUAAUAGCCAUUUCAAUAUUUUUAAAGUAUUGUAAGUCCACAAAUUUUUGUGAUUCUUUAUAAAUUGCAUGAAGGGUUUCCAAUCUUACUGAAAUUUUGUGUGUUUGCUUGUUGUAAAGCCAAAGUUAAUUUGCCAAUUCUGGUCAUCUCAUAAACUUUUGUAAUUCAAUCUUCUGAUGUCGGUGUGUUUUACCAUUUCCAUAAUUUUGCAUAUUCUUGUUGCUGUCGUCACGUAAACGAAAAUUAUUUCCUCUUGUUUUAAUAUUUGUUAUUCAAAUAGUCCCAAUGAGAAAAAUUCUGGUUUCAGUGGGAUUUUAUAAGAUAGUUUCCAUAUCUCUAGGUAUUUGUAUCCAGAAUUCCUUUGCCUUUGAACAGCCUCUCUCUCAAGGCAAUUCCUUCUACCUUCCUCUGACCUUGUUCUCCUUUCUCCUUUGCAGAACCUCAGGAAAUUCUGCGAGAAUUGUUUCCCUUGCUGUCAGAAGAGGAGGUUGAUUAAAGUGUUUCCUAUAAGUCCUCCAGUUGAAGCUCAGGAGUCCUCUUCCUCCAAGGUCACCACACUCGACACUUGGGUACGGAAGGAAAGGCAGGAGCAUUGUACUUCUGCAAAGUACAAUGUCCUCCAGUUGAAGUUCAGGAGACCUUUUCCUGCAAGGUCACCACACUCGAACCAUGGCGGUUAUAGAUGGUAUCAGGCCCGCAGCAGAGCCAGGAUGCAAGGAGGAAUGGCCCCAUUCAAGUAGAAUCGUAUGAAUCCUGGUUAAGCAUCAAAAUGCAGAUGUACUGUCUUUGUGCAAAGGGAAAGAGGAGGUCAAGCUUUCAGAGGAAGUUUCUUAAUAGUCACUUUGGCCAGGGAAGAAAAUGAGGACAGUUUGGCCCCAUGUAAGCUGCCCUGGGUUUCCUUUGGGGAGAUAGAGCGGUUAUAGAUGGUAUCAGGCCCGCAGCAGGGCCAGGAUGCAAGGAGGAAUGGCCCCAUUCAAGUAGAAUCGUAUGAAUCCUGGAUAAGCAGCAAAAUGCAGAUGUACUGUCUUUGUGCAAAGGGAAAGAGGAGGUCAAGCUUUCAGAGGAAGUUUCUUAAUAGUCACUUUGGCCAGGGAAGAAAAUGAGGACAAUUUGGCCCCAUCAGUUAUAGAUGAUAUCGGGUCCGCAGCAGGCCAGGAUGCAAGGAGGAAUGGCCCCAUUCAAGUAGAAUCGUAUGAAUCCUGGAUAAGCAGCAAAAUGCAGAUGUACUGUCUUUGUGCAAAGGGAAAGAGGAGGUCAAGCUUUCAGAGGAAGUUUCUUAAUAGUCACUUUGGCCAGGGAAGGAAAUGAGGACAGUUCGAAGGCACUUUGGAGCUAGCUGUCCCAGGAAUUGAGGUAACUUCUUCUCACUUUUUGGGUGGGGGUUGGGCCUUUUUUUGGGCUGGGGGAGUCUUUGAGUGUUAUGCUCUUACAUAUGAUUUUUUUAAAUUUCUCUUAGUGAACCAUACUAUUGGAGAUAGAGAAUUUGGAGGAGAUCUAAUGUGAGUUGGGACUGGAAAACAGAGGGAGGGAUGUGCUUGUUGUGGGGAGCAAGGAGCCUGGCAGAGGCCCCCAAGUCCUGACCAAGAGGGCCAGAAGGGCCCUGGAAGAUGGCAGAUUCCCUAGUAAGGCAGAAGGACAUCAGACAUAGAACCCCAUAUACUGCAUUGGGAAAGAAAAAGCCAAGCCCUGCUUCCCGGAGCCCUUUCCAGAGGAAGUAGGGAUAAGACAAGAAAGAGGAGCUUGGCAGCAUGGAGGGGAAAAGGAGUUGGAGCAAGGAAGAUGACCAGAGAAACACCAUUGUAUGUGGAUUCCUGGAGGAGGUGCCAAGAGGGUCCAGGGAGAGGCCAAUCCCUCAGGAAACGAAGGCAGAGCCCCAGCAUCCCUAAGGGAAGCAGCGAUGAAACCAUGAUAUGGCCCCCCUGAGGAAGGGAGGAAGAGGCUAGGAGGGAGAGGGAUGAAAAGGGGGGGGGGGGGUUGCUACAGGUACAGGCAGGCUGUUCUUGGCCACAGGAACUGGGACCUCCACUUAGGAGAGAAAGACACACCCAGUCUUCUGAUUUAGCUCCUCAAAGGCUUUCUGGCUGGAGAGUGCCUCUGUUUGCAUAUUUGUGUAUUUUAAAUUGUAUGCUGAUACUUUUAUGUUAAGCCACUUUGAGUCUCUUUCAGGAGAGAUAAUGUGGUUUAUUCAUAACAAUAAUAAUGAUAAUAAAUAAAUAAAUAAAUAAAUAACAACAACUCUCCCUCUUCAGAGCCACUCACACAUCCUCUUCACGACCUCUGCCUGGGACAGCUGGUUUCAUUGUGUGUCCAUACUUGCCGGUGUUCCUCCUACUCUCCUAGUCAAGGUGCCCUGUGAACAAAAGGACUUUGCUUGAAUGAGGCCCUCACUCCUUCCAUCCUGACUUGGCUGUGGGGCUGAUACCAUCCAGAAGCCCUGUGAAAGAAACUGUACAUAUUGUUGCCAAUCAAUGACUAUUUGAAUCUAAUGUUCAUAAUUAUAUUGUUAAUUUUGUUAUUGGUUGUGCUGUAUUUCGUGUUUUAUAUUUAUUGAUGGGUUAUUAAUUUUUUAUCCAUUUUUAUAUAUUUUAUUGUACUGCACUUACUGUAUUUUAUGUUGUAAGCCCCCCUCCGUGUCCCCUGGGGAGAGGGGGCAGUAUAUAAACAUUAUUAUUGUGAUUAUUAUGCUAUCUAUCAAUCUUCUAUGAUAUUAUUUCUUUUAAAACAUAAAUAAAAGGUUUUCAUGUUGCUUUCCUG
Anolis carolinensis (green anole) is the source of this 3022-nucleotide long non-coding RNA. RefSeq lists it as uncharacterized. NCBI's taxonomy places the organism in Eukaryota, Metazoa, Chordata, Lepidosauria, Squamata, Anolidae. The record is from RefSeq and is a predicted model, not a curated record. The transcript is spliced from 5 exons.